GAAAGUAGAAGGCAUUAAGGGGUUUUAAGCAUUGGGAGGGAGGUAGUUUGGGGACCGUGUGACGUGAGCAGAUUUGCAUUUCAGAAUGGUCAUUCCAGCUGCAGUGAGAAGGGGCUGGAGGGCUCAGGGUGGAUGUGGGAGGUCCAUCAAGGAGGUAGAUAUUGCCUCCAUUCUGAGCAAGACACAUGGAUGCCAACUUGGACUGGGAGCUGAAAACGGAGCAAAUGAACUGACCAAGCCAGUUUACCAAGGCAGAUGGAUGGGUGGUGCCAUCUGGAAAGAUGGAGCACUGGAAGAUGAUUGGAUUUGGGUGAAAAGAUCCUGAGAUCUGUUUGGGACAGAAUGGGUCUAGGGAGCCUUUGAAGCUUCCAAGUGGAAAUAACAGUGAUGGAUGGGUCUGGGAUGGAGACAUGCAUUUUGAGAGUCAUCUGCACACAGACUGCAAUGGAAGAUAUGGACAUGAACCAGAUUGCUUCAUAUCACCACUUAAAGCCACCUUCUCUCUCCAGUCACUCCACCUGUGCCUGCCCCCCAUGCAGGGAGACAGGUCUCUGCUGCCUCACAGUGACCCCACAGGCCCCUGUACGAGCUCCUGCUGCUACAGUGCCUCUUGUAUUGUUUUACGGCCACUCGCUUACAUGUCCGUUUUCCCCACUUAUGAUCCAGGAACACCGUGAGGACAGAGACACAUGGCUCUCCUUCUGAUGUCCUCAGCACACAGAGCACAUCCUGACCCUUUUGUGAGCAGUAAGUUACAGGCCCACUUUUCCGACCCACCACAAAGCCCCAGUGCAAUGUUCCUCCAGAAAGAGGUGAAAAUGCUGGCCCAGACCCAAGAGCCUCAUCUAAAACCCAGUCUCAGAGUCCUCAGAGGGGAAAGUAUCUCACUUGCACAUAGAAACCAAGAUGGGCACUGAAGAAUUUUAAAAAGAGAAUGGUACUGAUGUUUUCCCACUGUUACUACAGAUAAGCAAGCACUCAGGGAAUUUAUGGGAGAUGGAUUGACAGGUAGAGAAAUGGGUAAGCUCGGUCCUCAAGGAGCUUCCAGUACCAUCUCUUACUCAGAACUCGCUGUGCUCAUUAUAAGUCAAAACAAAGUUAUGUGUAUUUCAUGUGCAAUAUCUACAAAAAGUCAAAGCCUCAGUCCUCAAGGAGCAUAUAAUUUCAAGAAAAUAUAGAACAAACAUAGAUGAAAAUUUAACUCUAUCAAUACACACAGAGCCACCCCUACCCUCUCCAGUGCCUUUUUCUAAUUAGAAAAAGGUGCCUUUCCUCUAGGCAGACAUGGCACCUCAGUCAGCAGGGUAUGUGACUUGGCUGGAUUCUGGAUUUAAGCCCAUGUCCCCCUACACUGACCUGACAUCUUUGUGCAGUGCACAACCUGCACAACACAUAUAUGACAGGAGUAGCAGGUGCUGAUAACAAGGAGGGAUUGAUAUAGGAUGGAUGAACAGAGACUAGCUAGAACUGAUUGGGUAAGAACAGAAGAAACAACUACAAGGAAUGCCAGAGGCAUAUCCAGUGACAAAUCAGAUUUGACCAAGGCAAAGGGUACACUUGAUGGAGUAAGGAAAUGAGAUUGGGAAGCUUAGUUGGGAAGUAAUUAGGGAAGGCCUCAAACACCAGGCUAAGGAGUUUGCACUUGACCUUGCAGGAACUGACCCCUGCCUAGGGUCAUUAUCCUCCUUUCACCAAAGUAGUGCCACAGAGCAUUGGCUGCCAGUAUCAAUUCUCACCAAAGAAAGUGCCCACUUGCACCCUGAAGGUCAUGAAAGAUACCAGGUGACAAGAAAACAACUAAAUAUCUUUGUGCUGACACAGAACCCCUAAUAAGGUCUAAUCCCUUGCAUUUGUAGCCUGCAUAAAAAUAUAUGUUUUAUAUCCAAUAUAUUUAUUGUUACAAUAGUCUCCUUUGAUUAACAGGAUAAGAAAGCAGGGCAAUUAAGGACCUUGGUGAAAGUCAAAGAAAAAAUCCACAGGGGCAAAGCUGUGACUUGAACCCAGGUCUAUCACUCAGAAUCUGAUGCUCAAGGGCACUCAGCCUCCCUGCACUUGCCUCAGCAGGGUCCCUCUCUCACCAGUCACCACACUGACUACUUGAGUUUGCCAGCCCUGGGUCCUUUCCAAGAAAAGACAAAGCUUCCAAACAAGCAGUAAUGACAUUGAUUAUUCCAAGCCAGAGGCAGGGGAUUCUGGAUCAUUUCCUUAAAAUACUUGCUCAGCAGCACCCGGGUCCUCACCCCCACCGCCCCUGGUCCCAAGAAAGAUAUGUACAGUACUUCAUUAACAUGAAGGGGAGAAUAAUUCCCUGUGGAUUUUUGCAGUCUCAUUUCCCUAGCUUGUCAAAUGCCAGCAGCAAGCCAGUCUGGCUGCAUUGUUAGCUUGGCUGCCUCUUAUUUUUGUAGUGUUUUGCAGAUUGCAGCAGCUUUUUUUUUCCAGCUAGGUGAAAACAUAUCACCUUUAAGCUUCCUGGUGUAUCACUCAAAAGAUUUUCCUAUUCUCCUUGGACUUCAUAAUACAGAAUUCUCUUCUGCUAUCACAAGCCAUUUUUUUUUCUCCAAGAAAGAACAUAACAUUUAUUUUUAAUACCAUACUCCAAGAUAUGUGAUCAAAAUGUAAUUUAAAAAAAAAAACAAAUAAAUAAAAGACUUUCCAAUAUGUCACGCAAAAAAUAAAAGACAUGCUGUUCAAAAGCUAAAUUUCAGUCAUCGUAUUUACAUUCCUUUUUUUUCUGCUUCACCCUUUUGUUACUAAGGAAGUUGGAAUGAAAGGGGAUUUGUCUCUUUUUCUCAAAAACCCAUCUCUCGCUGCUAAGUUUCUCCACACCUGAAUUCACACAUCUCCCACAUCAUGAUAAUUACCUCCAUGGUAACCACUCAUGACAUCACAAACACAAUGUGAUAGCAGAAGAAAUAAGAGCUCCUGAGACCCUGCUGGAUACAAAUGCCCUGUACGACCUAAGGGCCUCCACAGCAGGAACAAAAGGAAUUUUGUCUGAGAUUUUAGCAGAAAAGUAAUUUUUGAAAUCUAUUCUUGGAUUUAGACGUUUAUUGGAUUUCAAAGCUUCUUGCUGCCCAGGAGCUUGUGAAUACGGUCAAAGGUCCAUGAAAUUUCCAAAGUGGUACCACAGCAGAUGAACCUGAAUGCAAACUGGAGGGACCAACAGAGUCCAGCCUAUAGACAUAAAUCCUUAACUACACCUAGAUCUCACUGUCUUUUCCAAUGGUCAAAAGAGGGGCUCUUGAAAUGGCUCCAUUGUUUUAUAGAAACAAGGUCUUCCUAAGAAGUCUUUUUCUCCUAUCUUUUUCUUACCCAAAAUAAAGGAAUGGCCCAAAACCUCAAGCCAAGCUUACCAGCUAUAAACAACUUGGUGGUCAGCAGCCAAAAGAAGAGUGGACAUGCCAUGGUCAUGUGGCACGUACCCUAUACAAGCUUCACAGAGAAGAAUGGAAGCACUUGAUUGUAAGACAGAGGGUGAGAUGUGAGAGGAAUAUUAACCUUCACUUUCCACAGGCAUUUUUUUCUGCAAAUGGCACCAGCUUUUGGACUUAAAAUUUUAUUCCAAAUACUAUUUAGAUGCAUCAGGGCCCUCAAAAUAUGGAUUUCAAGUUGGAGACAUCAAAGUGCAUUAUUUACUAAAACCACUGCAGCUUUUUUCCCCUCUCCUUUCACAAGAUGCUAUUGUAAAUUCAGGCUGCUUUAAUCUCUGUGAUUAAAAAAAAAAAGGAAGAAAGAAAAAAAAAGUGCUGCUUGAAGAGGAACUGAACUCACAAUCUGGGAGCUAGAAAGUAAAUAUUACCCAGAGAGUACCUCACUUUAAUUACUGGCCUGAACAUUGGUUUCAAUUUACAUGUAUUUUAAUUAGCCACAGAAGGGUUCACCUAUUACUCUCUGAAUACAAAACUUAAAAAGCAAACAGAAAAUAGGGAAAGAAAGGCUUAUUUAAGGGCCUCCAAGGAUUAAUCUUUGCAUUCUUCUCAUUUUUUCCCCGAAUUUGGGGAUAAAAUUUGUCGCAGGGAAUUUGAUCUUAGGGAAACAUUGAGUUUGGUUUGUGAACACAAGCUACUUCUGAACACUAUUUUAGCAAACAGAAUUUUAGAAGCAUAAGGCUCUAGCAGAGGGCUAUACAGAAUUUUGCAUAAACUAAAUAACAACCGUUUCCUCCUGAAAUGCAGGAAAUCAAGCUGCACGGGUAUGUUUGCUGAUUGGUCCUUAGGUCUUCAGCAAAGCUUGGACCACUUGGCAAAGUCUUCUGUCUCCAGAGGAAUGAUGGGAAAACUAUGGGACAAAAGUCAGGAGAGUGGUGCUGGCUGAUCCUGGCCUGGACAUUGACUCCCUGGGGACUUUGGUGCUCUCUCGUGCUCUCUCUGUCUCCAGUGAUAAGCUGACCAGAUGCCUUGAAUUAAGUACAGUAUGCAGCAAUGCCAGCCCUGGACUUUUCCCCAACCUAUCACCCAACCCACUUACCUGGAGCCAAGGGUCACCAACAUCUCUAAUAGAAUCCAACUGUGGAAUAGAAAAACUAUUUCGUCUAAGAAGUGGAUCCUAGCUGUCAAAUAAAAAAUCGCUGUUGAA
Molecule: long non-coding RNA, 4575 nt
Filed under: Homo sapiens (human)
Lineage: Eukaryota; Metazoa; Chordata; Mammalia; Primates; Hominidae
Description: HSALNT0386281
Source: RNAcentral